This 279-nucleotide ribosomal RNA is filed under the name uncultured bacterium. RNAcentral describes it as "partial 16S ribosomal RNA". It matches the Rfam family "Bacterial small subunit ribosomal RNA", at positions 506 to 784 of the family's 1533-position model. The record is from RNAcentral.
UGCCAGCCGCCGCGGUAAUACGUAGGUGGCAAGCGUUGUCCGGAAUUAUUGGGCGUAAAGCGCGCGCAGGCGGUUCCUUAAGUCUGAUGUGAAAGCCCACGGCUCAACCCGCGGCCUGCAUCUGAAACUGGCAGGCUUGAGUCUGGUAGAGGAAAGUGGAAUUCCUGGUGUAGUGGUGGAAUGCGUAGAUAUCGGGAGGAACACCAGUGGCGAAGGCGGCACCCUGGCCCGCACCUGACGCUGAGGCGCGAAAGCGUGGGGAGCAAACCGGAUUAGAUA